This 393-nucleotide ribosomal RNA is filed under the name Ochromonas tuberculata. RNAcentral's name for it is "partial small subunit ribosomal RNA". It matches the Rfam family "Eukaryotic small subunit ribosomal RNA", at positions 30 to 432 of the family's 1831-position model. Lineage: Eukaryota; Chrysophyceae; Chromulinales; Chromulinaceae. The record is from RNAcentral.
GCUUGUCUCAAAGAUUAAGCCAUGCAUGUCUAAGUAUAAACGACUUUAUACUGUGAAACUGCGAAUGGCUCAUUAUAUCAGUUAUAGUUUAUUUGAUGGUCCUUGCUACUUGGAUAACCGUAGUAAUUCUAGAGCUAAUACAUGCAUCAAGCCCCGACUUCUGGAAGGGGUGUAUUUAUUAGAUGGAAACCAAUGCGGGGCAACCCGGUAUAUGGUGAUUCAUAAUAACUGAUCGAAUCUCAAAUUUGAGAUAAAUCAUUCAAGUUUCUGCCCUAUCAGCUUUCGAUGGUAGUGUAUUGGACUACCAUGGCAGUAACGGGUAACGAAGAAUUAGGGUUCGAUUUCGGAGAGGGAGCAUGAGAAACGGCUACCACAUCUAAGGAAGGCAGCAGG